AUUGAACGCUGGCGGCAGGCCUAACACAUGCAAGUCGAACGAGUGGCGGACGGGUGAGUAAUGUCUGGGAAACUGCCUGAUGGAGGGGGAUAACUACUGGAAACGGUAGCUAAUACCGCAUACCAUCGGAUGUGCCCCGAGGGGAUUAGAUAGUAGGUGGGGUAACGGCUCACAUAGGCGCCGAGCCCUCGCGGGGCUGAGAGUAUGACCAGGGAGACUGGAACAGUGACACGGUGCAGACGCUUACGGGAGGCAACAGUGGGGAAGAUUGCACAAUGGGAGGAAGCCUGAGGCAGCCAUGCCGCGGGUAUGGGGAAGGGCUUCGGGUUGUAAGGGACUUUCAGCGGUGAGGCGUUAGCAGCAGAAGAAGCACCGGCUAACUCGGUGGCAGGAGCCGCGGUAAUUG
RNAcentral lists this ribosomal RNA (406 nucleotides) under uncultured bacterium. RNAcentral describes it as "partial 16S ribosomal RNA". It matches the Rfam family "Bacterial small subunit ribosomal RNA", at positions 29 to 526 of the family's 1533-position model. The record is from RNAcentral.